This 242-nucleotide long non-coding RNA is filed under the name Medicago truncatula (barrel medic). RNAcentral's name for it is "lncRNA gene6058". The record is from RNAcentral. Lineage: Eukaryota; Viridiplantae; Streptophyta; Magnoliopsida; Fabales; Fabaceae.
AGUGGGGGCAUUAAUGUGGUGGAACAUGGUUCAGGAAACACUCGGUUGGGCUUGAAACUGCAAUUUGUGGCCUGCCCACUCCAAGUUGGGAGUUGAUUAAUGGGGCCUGAGCGAAAGGCUGGCUUAACAGAGCAGCGACUACCCUCAUAAUUAUUUGUAUGAGAUGCAAAUUGCAAUAAUUUGAUUAAGGAAACAUUAUAAUCAUGUGGACAUUUCAACAACCCUUUGGCUUUGGCAUAGUU